This 440-nucleotide ribosomal RNA is filed under the name uncultured bacterium. RNAcentral describes it as "partial 16S ribosomal RNA". It matches the Rfam family "Bacterial small subunit ribosomal RNA", at positions 338 to 795 of the family's 1533-position model. The record is from RNAcentral.
CCUACGGGAGGCAGCAGUGGGGAAUAUUGCACAAUGGGGGAAACCCUGAUGCAGCGACGCCGCGUGAAGGAAGAAGUAUUUCGGUAUGUAAACUUCUAUCAGCAGGGAAGAAAAUGACGGUACCUGACCAAGAAGCCCCGGCUAACUACGUGCCAGCAGCCGCGGUAAUACGUAGGGGGCAAGCGUUAUCCGGAUUUACUGGGUGUAAAGGGAGCGUAGGCGGCGAUGCAAGUCUGAAGUGAAAGGCCGGGGCUCAACCCCGGGACUGCUUUUGAAACUGUAAGGCUAGAGUGCAGGAGAGGCAAGUGGAAUUCCUAGUGUAGCGGUGAAAUGCGUAGAUAUUAGGAGGAACACCAGUGGCGAAGGCGGCUUGCUGGACGGUAAAUGACGCUGAGGCUCGAAAGCGUGGGGAGCAAACAGGAUUAGAUACCCGGGUAGUC